RNAcentral lists this ribosomal RNA (254 nucleotides) under uncultured bacterium. RNAcentral's name for it is "partial 16S ribosomal RNA". It matches the Rfam family "Bacterial small subunit ribosomal RNA", at positions 524 to 776 of the family's 1533-position model. The record is from RNAcentral.
UACGUAGGGUGCAAGCGUUGUCCGGAUUCAUUGGGCGUAAAGAGCUCGUAGGCGGCUUAGUAAGUCAGGUGUGAAACCUCCAGGCUCAACCUGGAGACGCCACUUGAUACUGCUAUGGCUUGAGUUUGGUAGGGGUAAGCGGAAUUCCUGGUGUAGCGGUGAAAUGCGCAGAUAUCAGGAGGAACACCGGUGGCGAAGGCGGAUCUCUGGGCCAUUACUGACGCUGAGGAGCGAAAGCGUGGGGAGCGAACAGG